Molecule: long non-coding RNA, 1517 nt
Organism: Coturnix japonica (Japanese quail)
Lineage: Eukaryota; Metazoa; Chordata; Aves; Galliformes; Phasianidae
Source: RefSeq, a predicted model, not a curated record
GGCAACUUGGCAUUAAAACUUAUUUCUCUUCAACCUCGCCGCAUUCACUCUGGAAUAAAAGUAUUAGAGAAGACAAGGUCCUUACUCAGGUUGUGACUGUUAAGAUGAUUUUCUUCCUCAUUUCCCCACCACCACUCGUCCUUUCCCCUGCUUUCUCAUCUUAUGUAUCUUGGAGAGAGCACAGCAAAUCUAAAACUGAUGGCCUCGCUUCUUUUGCUUUUUUGGCUGAGUGCAGGCUCAAUACCUGCACAAGAGGGGAGCUGGAUCAGCUUGGAAAAAAAAACAAAAAGGCUCCUGCCAAAGUAAUAAUCAUAAUAUUAGCACAGAGAUGUAUGGAGACAUUUCUAGCAACCAGAGCAAAUGCUGCCCACUCUCUCCCCUCCUUCUGUGACCGCAUGACUUUUUAGCUUGCUGUUGGCUACCAAAUUAUCUGCUGCCCUUAGUCACCUCUCAGUGCUGCUAACUCCAUUUGUUCCUUGGCAUUGUGGUGGCAGAGACAUUUAGAGAGAUGUGGAUAAAUCAGCCUGCUACACCCUAAAACUCUGUGUGUUUGUACUUAUCUGAGCACAGUAUUCCUGCAAACUUGAAAAGUACUUCAAGAGCCUGACACAGCUUUCUUGAUCUUGAUCUCAUUCAUUCUGAGGGAGGAGAGGAAAACGAGUGAGAGAGGGGAAUGCUGCUCUUGGCAGAAGAUACAGGCAAUUGGCUGCUUUAUGGCUUUGCCUUGAUGUAUGUUUAAAAAACAUCCUAAAAUCUGGCACAGAGAGAUUUUCCCACUUGUUUUAUUUCUAAAUAUUCUUCAAACGCUUUCAUGGGAUAUAGAAUGUUGCUUUGAUCAGGCAAACAUACUUUGUGCUGAAGUUUCUACUUAAUACUGACUUCAAUUCAUAUUCUGCCAAUUUUUUAAUUUCAGAUUUGAUUUCAAAUUUUCUCUAGCUUAUAGACAACAGAAAAAUACGACAAUUUCCCCUGUGGAUCAUGUUACUUUGCUGAUGUGAGCUGAAGUUUCAGAAGGUGGGGAAAAAAGUAAUGAAGAAAAUACUAUCAAAUCUGCCGCUUCUGCAAAAUGCUGGUAAACUACUGACAUUGGCUCCUGUGGGACACAGAGAUCAUCCUUCUACAAUGUGUGAAGACCUUCCAUUUUGUGCUCAGGGCACUGAAAGAUUCCUCAUCAUUUACCAGGACAGCAGUUGCAUGCUUCCUCAGUCUGAAGGAAUUAAACAGCCACACUUACCGUGAGGAAGCGUAGUUUUGUAGGCAACUCGGAGGAGAUCAGAGCCAUGCUACUGAAGCCUUUGUUUCAGAUUAAUUGGUAAAGGCUCCUGGACUGUCUCUUUUUCAGGUAAGUUCUACUUCCAAAUAUCAAACUGUGUUUGUGUAUGUGUGGCUGUGUACCUGUAACCACUCUGUACUGCAUGUAAACGUCUCUAGUUCCAUUUCGGGUAUAUGCAGGCUGAUUGGCAAAGUUUUGUCAUGGCAAUUUAAUGAUCAAAACCUGCCAUGCCUAAGCACUGUUC